UACAACUUUUCACCAUUGUAAAAAAUUAAUAACCUUGGUGAUUUGUGUAUUUACUCAUCAGAAUUCUGCUUGCCUUCUUAAAGAAGAUGAGCCCCUCAUGGCAAAUCGUUUUGAGAGGUGUUUGCAGUUGAGUUUUCACUUGACUGUGGUGUCUCUGGAGAUCUUAUUUCUUUCUUCCUGUCCUUAACUGAAAGACCCAAGGACCUAGAAGAAACAUGGAGGCUCUGUAUUCAUCUGGGGAUCUGCAGUCAGCUUCCAAGGCCAAAAAGCCUCCUACAAUAGACAUACCCAUGGAACCUCAACCUGUCAACCAUGCCCAAACUCAUGAGCCAGAAAAGGUCCCAAUUUCAGCUCCAUUACCACUCACUCCCAAUGCAAAGAAUUGCCUGUGCUCCCCCACCACCCAUGCUGGAUCAUUCAGAUGCCGCCUGCAUCGGUCCCUCCAAAAGCAAUGGAGUAUGGGCAGUAGUAGUAAUAAUGGCAGGCUGCCAUCAUCAUCCCCUCCGAGGGAAGCCCCUCCUGAUACAGUUGAUGGGGCAUCUCUUGGAACAAUUCCAAAUACAGUUGAAGCUCAAUGAAAAGUAGAUACAUGUAUAUAUAUAUAUAUACAUAUAUAUAUCUUAGAUAUCUGAGAUGUUCUUGGAUCCCCAAGAUAUAUGAGCAACCUUCCUUAUUCUCCUGUUUAUCAGUUGUUUAAUCAGGUGAUGCUUAUAUGCUUUUCUUCUCUCUACUGUUACUCUCAAUCAUGUAUCCUAACCCACAAGGGGUUUUAGAUUAGGAUAUGGAUUGUAAUUCAAACCCAAAAUUAGAUUAUGUAGCCAAGUUUGAUGCGUUAA
This is a long non-coding RNA of Cryptomeria japonica (Japanese cedar), 836 nucleotides long. RefSeq lists it as uncharacterized. The record is from RefSeq and is a predicted model, not a curated record. The transcript is spliced from 2 exons. NCBI's taxonomy places the organism in Eukaryota, Viridiplantae, Streptophyta, Pinopsida, Cupressales, Cupressaceae.